RNAcentral lists this unclassified non-coding RNA (553 nucleotides) under Hevea brasiliensis (rubber tree). The record is from RNAcentral. Lineage: Eukaryota; Viridiplantae; Streptophyta; Magnoliopsida; Malpighiales; Euphorbiaceae.
CCUCCUCCUCCUCUGCUACUUCGUAGGCCAGUGCUCAAUCUCACUCAAAUUGCAUAAGCUUUCAAGUUUUCAUUUAUCAAAAUGACUAAUGUGGUGGAACUGAAAGUAGGUUUACAUUGUGAUGAAUGCAUUAAGAAAAUCUUGAAGGCUGUCAAGAAAAUUCAAGAUAUUGAAACAUAUAAUGUGGACAUUGAGCUCAACAAGGUCAUAGUGACUGGCAAUGUUACAACAGAAGAAGUCAUCAAAGCCAUCCAAAAGAGCGGCAAGACAGCAACCACUUGGGAAGGAGAUCAAACAAAUUCCUAAACUUGCGAAAGCUGUGUGCGUCCUCUACUAUUUAGUAAGAUCACACCAAACUAAAGAUUAUCAGAUGUGGCCAUGGAUAUUUUCACCUUCACUUGGUUAGCAGGACCGAAGAUAGAAGCCAAUCAGACAAACAUUUAUGCUUCAAUAUCUAGAUAUAUAUAUAGUAGUAGUUACUUUCAAGAAUCAUCAAAUCUAUGUUCUCUACCAAAUCAAAAUAAUUGAUGAUUCUUGAAAGUAACUACUACUA